RNAcentral lists this ribosomal RNA (253 nucleotides) under uncultured bacterium. Its description in RNAcentral is "partial 16S ribosomal RNA". It matches the Rfam family "Bacterial small subunit ribosomal RNA", at positions 524 to 776 of the family's 1533-position model. The record is from RNAcentral.
UACGUAGGGUGCAAGCGUUGUCCGGAAUUAUUGGGCGUAAAGAGCUCGUAGGCGGUCUGUCGCGUCGGCUGUGAAAACCCGUGGCUCAACCCCGGGCCUGCAGUCGAUACGGGCAGACUAGAGUGCGGUAGGGGAGACUGGAAUUCCAGGUGUAGCGGUGAAAUGCGUAGAUAUCUGGAGGAAUACCGGUGGCGAAGGCGGCAUCCUGGACCGGCAUUGACGCUGAUGAGCGAAAGCUAGGGGAGCAAACGGG